GACGAACGCUGGCGGCGUGCUUAACACAUGCAAGUCGAACGGAAAGGCCCUGCUUGCAGGGUGCUCGAGUGGCGAACGGGUGAGUAACACGUGGGUGAUCUGCCCCUUACUUUGGGAUAAGCCUGGGAAACUGGGUCUAAUACUGGAUAGGACCAUGCUGUAUGUGGUGUGGUGGAAAGAUUAGUUUCGGUAAGGGAUGAGCUCGCGGCCUAUCAGCUUUUUGGUGGGGUAAUGGCCUACCAAGGCGUCGACGGGUAGCCGGCCUGAGAGGGUGGACGGCCACAUUGGGACUGAGAUACGGCCCAGACUCCUACGGGAGGCAGCAGUGGGGAAUAUUGCACAAUGGGCGCAAGCCUGAUGCAGCGACGCCGCGUGGGGGAUGACGGCCUUCGGGUUGUAAACUCCUUUCAGCCAUGACGAAGCCCUUGUGGUGACGGUAGUGGUAGAAGAAGCACCGGCUAACUACGUG
This 469-nucleotide ribosomal RNA is filed under the name uncultured bacterium. Its description in RNAcentral is "partial 16S ribosomal RNA". It matches the Rfam family "Bacterial small subunit ribosomal RNA", at positions 28 to 507 of the family's 1533-position model. The record is from RNAcentral.